CUGCUGCGUGAGAUCAUCAAGUUCUGUGCUUUGAUUGAGAAGCAUAACUCGGCCAUCACACGUGUUUAUGUCUCCAUCUUCAGGAACCUGCUGCUGAAGAUCAGCCUUGUUAUCAUACUGUGUUACCACUGGCUUGGAAAAAUUGCUGUGGAACAAGACCCUCAAGUUUCAAAGUGCUGGGAGAAUUUUGUGGGGCAGGAACUUUAUCGCCUGCUCCUGAUGGACUUCAUCUUUACAGUGCUU
Xiphophorus maculatus (southern platyfish) is the source of this 243-nucleotide long non-coding RNA. RefSeq lists it as uncharacterized. The transcript is spliced from 3 exons. NCBI's taxonomy places the organism in Eukaryota, Metazoa, Chordata, Actinopteri, Cyprinodontiformes, Poeciliidae. The record is from RefSeq and is a predicted model, not a curated record.